AAGAAUUCCAAAGAUAGUCAUAUUGAGCGUGGAAACAGUUUUUUUCUUACACUUUGGUCCUGUCUGAUUUUUAAAAAUACAAGUAGACAGUCUACACUGGCCUUAGGCUGAGGACUGGGGAAUCCCAGUUUCCAUUGCUGCCAGGUGUCUAUAUUUCCUCUGUCUUAAACAAGACACAGGAGCGUGCACACACACACACACACACACACACACACACACACACCUUCCCCAGCAGGAAGGCUCCAUGCAAAGUGGUUGUCACAGCACUCCCAGCAUUUCCUGUCAUUAUCACUAUGGGGGAGACAAAGCUAAGUGUUAUUAAUAAGGACAAUACUCAAACAAUAGGAACCAGAGGAAGAAUUCCAAACUCCAAGCCAAUGCAAAACUGAAUUCAUGCUGUCCUCUUAUACACUUUUUUUUUGAGUUGGGGGUCUUGCUAAAUUUCCCAAGUGGGCAGUCAACCUUCAAUCAUCCUGCCUCAGCCUCCUGAGUAGCUGGGAUUAUAAAUGCAUUGAUGCUUUCCUUUUAAAGUUAGUUUUUUCUAAAAUGUCCAACCUAGUCAUUAUACUUUUUAUUAAAAAACUUCCUCCUUAACCUCUGAAGAUUGAUUCUGCACUAUCAUGUUUCAAUAAUGACACCUCAGAGGGGUUCUGUAGCCUCUGUUGGGUUUUGUUGUUUUUCUGGUUGUUCAAGUUGUAAGCUGUCCAACUGGAAGGAUGAGAAGGAGGUGAGGGGCCAGGAGCAAGGAUCCUCAGAGCCACUGGGAUGGCAAGAGCCUCAUAUACUUUGAGCAGGUGGUACAUCUGAGCGGUGCUGUUGGUUGGUUGGUUUUUCUCACAUGUGUUCAGUCUGUGAGAAAAAUUCUGAAAUAAAAACUGUGCAUCCAACUGGUGGCCACCUCUGUUCACUUGGACUUGCAAGUACCAUACAAGCCAGUUACAAAAUCCAGAGAGUAAAAUUUGUAGGUUAAAAAAAUGAUGAGGCUGGGUGUGGUGCCACAUGCCUAUAAUCCCAGCAUCUCAGGAAGCAGAGACAGGAGGAUCAUGAGUUCAAAGCCAGCCUUAGUAAUUUAGCAAGGCACUAAGCAACUCAGUGAGACCCUGUCUCUAAGUAAAAUACAAUAUAGGGCUGGGUAUGUAGCUCAAUGACUGAGUGCCCUUGAGUUCAUUUCCCAGUACCAAACAAAAAACAAACAAAC
RNAcentral lists this long non-coding RNA (1198 nucleotides) under Marmota monax (woodchuck). Lineage: Eukaryota; Metazoa; Chordata; Mammalia; Rodentia; Sciuridae. The record is from RNAcentral.